UGGGUCAUGGUUUCGUGAUGCCCAUUGGACAACAAAGGGGGAUUGCGACUAUUUGUUAUCAUCACGAAUUCAUUACUUUGUCACAUCAGGCAUCAACGGAUAUUUCGUGCCCCUCCAAAGGUUUAUUUUCAGCAUGCAUGUUUAGGUGUUUUUGUGAUUGGCAAAGAUAAAGUUGGCUACAAGGCUCAUAUCAAGAUCAGGUGAGUCCCAUGACUGCAGCUGCACUGUCAUACAAGGCACUAAUUGUAAUAGGUUGCCUUAGCUUUUCCAAGUGGUUCUUGCUACUGAUGCACAUGGUGUCAUUGCGAGAGCAAAGGCUAACCAAAGUGCCGUACCGGACACAUUCUUAUUGCUUCCAAAAUAAAGUUUAGUUCUUUCAGAAUGAUUAUUGCAAUCGAAAAUAGAGAAUGUUUAUUGCAAUUUACAAACAGUAAUAGAGCAUGAAACUAAAAUUGUGCCUUUAAUUCAUUACUGGCAGAAAGUCGUACAAACAGGCAAUCUGAGAUGGUACUACUUCAACUGUAACUUUUUAAAUAAUAACUAAUCUUGGUUCAUAACUUUUGGAAACAAAUGGUACAGCACUAGUAUGCAUGUAUCAUUUAUAUGUUAUUAGAACACAACUAAUUAACAUGUCACAUUAUUUCCUAUCCCUUAUAGUCAGACUACACACUUGUAUAAAACUUACCAGUGUGACUUUUCUUUCUGUCCUCAUCCAUGCUGCUAGUGUUGUUUUCCAUCCCUCUGCUAAUUAAAGUAUAAAAUGAACACGAACUCUCUUUGUCCUGUGACUCCUAAUUAAGACCAGAGAGACUUCUCCUCCCUUCUUUCUAUCUACAACAAAAAACUGUUGUUUCUUUUUUUUUUUCAUUGUCCUGUGUAAAAACUCUGCCAUCCCAUUGGACCUUAAGAAGAUAUCGAACCAAUCAAUGACUAUUGAGGGUCCAAGGAUGCUUUAUCUCCCUUUUCCUUCCAAUUACAUGAUUGUGGAUAUGCUGUUUCCACCAGGCACAGCUGAUGCAAAUGGACUUUCUGGGAGGAGUUCGAUCUGAUUGCUGCAAUUAGGAAUGUGUUAUUAUCCACUAAAAUAUUACACAGAUGAUAUACGAUAGGACCAACGCUAGCGUGCAAUGCAAUGUUUGUUUGAUUGUGUUUACUAGUAAAUAAUAAUGGGGUACCUCUCUUUAUCAUCGUAGUUGUUGCUUGCCUGCGUUUGGGGAGGUUGGCUCGUGGAGACCAUUUCCAAGGAAUCGGACGUCAUGAGGGGAUGGUCCAUCAGCUGGUCGACAUCGUCUUUAGAAUCUGAUUAGCGAUCAAAAAAUUGGAAAAAGGAAAAGGAGACUUAACCUUACGGUUAAAGAUGGAAUUCUAAGGUGAAAAAUGAUGGCAUUGCGGAC
This 1394-nucleotide long non-coding RNA is filed under the name Sorghum bicolor (sorghum). RNAcentral describes it as "long non-coding RNA (SBIC_LNC001465)". Lineage: Eukaryota; Viridiplantae; Streptophyta; Magnoliopsida; Poales; Poaceae. The record is from RNAcentral.